GGCUGCGAUCAUACCAGCACUAACGCACCGGAUCCCAUCAGAACUCCGAAGUUAAGCGUGCUUGGGCGAGAGUAGUACUAGGAUGGGUGACCCCCUGGGAAGUCCUCGUGUUGUAUCCC
Molecule: ribosomal RNA, 119 nt
Filed under: Nicotiana attenuata
Lineage: Eukaryota; Viridiplantae; Streptophyta; Magnoliopsida; Solanales; Solanaceae
Source: RNAcentral